This 2063-nucleotide long non-coding RNA is filed under the name Marmota monax (woodchuck). The record is from RNAcentral. Lineage: Eukaryota; Metazoa; Chordata; Mammalia; Rodentia; Sciuridae.
AACAAGUCAAAAUAACACCUGGCAUUUUGCCAGGGGAAUGUUAGAGUUUGUAAACAAGUCUGGAUGGUGCCUGGCAAAAUGCCAGAGGGAGUGGUUUGAGAAGUAACAAAAGCGAGCCAUUAAGUGUGGAGAUUCCUGAUUGGUUGACUGCUGUAUCUAGUUUAUGCUAAUUAGAUAAGCUGUGUGGAAUGUAUAAAUACUGCUCCUGUCCUGCAAUAAACGGCUCCCACUCCUGCUGUAUCAAUCUACACAAGUUGUUCGUCACCCCCCGGUUAUUUUGCUGCAGCCGGACAGUGGCAGAUGGUGGCCUGUACCGGGAGCCCCGGGACACUCAGGGGUAAGUGACGAAAAAAAAAGCUGCCUGUCCAUAGAUAGGACAGGAGCAAAUCUGCUCGUCCCUAGACAGAUAGGGCGAGAGGAAAAAAUGGCCAUUUCGAGAAAAUGGAAAAGGUUGAUACAGUAUGUUUGUGUCUUGUUUUGUCUCAGUGUAUUGUAUUGUCUUUGUGAUGAAAACAUGGAAGGGGUGAGAAGUAAAUUACUAAGGGAAGGAGGCACCCCAGUGGAACCAAGAAUAGUUAGGGCAUGUGUUGAUAAGAGCCCAGGAACUCUAGUCAGAAAGAAAAAGAAAGUUCAGAAGAAGAAGGAUUAUCAGGAAAAAAGUUGCAGCAAAAGGCUAUUACUAAAUACUUUUCGUUACCGGAGGGUGUGUGAAGCGGAGAGGCGGCUGCCAAGUGUGCAAGCCGGUCACAGCGCAGCAAGGAUUUUCCAAGAGGCUGAGGCGACUGGCCCUUCCCCGCCUCCUGGCCGGGGAGCUGGCUCUUCCACUGCCGUGAACCCAAAUCUAGACCUGACCUGGAGGCACAGUCUCGCAGGCUCUUGCUCCCUGUGCCCAGUAGCAGUUUGAGUCCAGGACACUCCCCAGGGCCAUCUGGGUCUGCCCAGGCACUACAGCCAGCAGAAGCCGCUACUGGUGUCCCUGAUGUUUGGUCAUUUUCAAUGCCAAUAACUAAGCUACAAUGGUUCUCCCAUACCUGGAAGCUAAUGAGUAAUUAUUACCAUUAAGGCUUAUUUCAAAUGUAAAAAACCUUGAGAUAAUGUACUAAAUUGUUCAGAAGGUUGUUUUCUUAGUAGAAUGCUACAGGAUUUUCCAUCCGGUGUUCCUGCCUUCAUCCCAGUGCCGGUGAGGAGGAGGGUGAAAGAAUUUCUAGUGUUGCUGAAAACCAGACGAGACUUCAGAUCAAGCUAGUUGCCUGCAGAACUUACCUGGACUGUGAUUUAAGCUAGCUGCCUGCAGAACUUACCUGGACUGUGAUUUACCUGGACUGUGAGUUAAUCUAUUGAGACACUGCUUUACCUGGACUGAGACAACAAACUGUAAUCUACAACAAAUUGUAACUCAGUAUCUUUGCUAAUGGUGUCAUUUUUUGUAUAAUUUUUCCAAGGGCUUCUUGCAUGGAGCCAUCAAUUGGCUUGGUAUUGUGGCAUUUUGUAUCCUCCCCUUCUGUUUGUAGCAGGUUAUUUAUGGUGUUUCUGUAAAAACCACUAUGGUCGUUAUUUAAAUUAAACAAAAGGGGGAAAUGUUGGAGUCUGUAAACAAGUCAAAAUAACACCUGGCAUUUUGCCAGGGGAAUGUUAGAGUUUGUAAACAAGUCUGGAUGGUGCCUGGCAAAAUGCCAGAGGGAGUGGUUUGAGAAGUAACAAAAGCGAGCCAUUAAGUGUGGAGAUUCCUGAUUGGUUGACUGCUGUAUUUAGUUUAUGCUAAUUAGAUAAGCUGUGUGGAAUGUAUAAAUACUGCUCCUGUCCUGCAAUAAACGGCUCCCACUCCUGCUGUAUCAAUCUACACAAGUUGUUCGUCACACCCCGGUUAUUUUGCUGCAGCCGGACUGCGGCACUGGAGACAUCUCGUGCUAAGUAUAAUAAACCAAUUCCCCAAAUCCAAAGGCCAAAUGUUCUCUCUGAUAUGCAGAUGCUAACUCAAAAUAAGGAGGGGAGUCGGUUAGGAAAAAUAUGAAUAUUUUGGAUCAGGCAAAGGGGAACGAAGAAGGUAAGGGAAGGAAAAUGGG